Molecule: ribosomal RNA, 207 nt
Filed under: uncultured bacterium
Lineage: Bacteria
Description: partial 16S ribosomal RNA
Rfam family: Bacterial small subunit ribosomal RNA
Source: RNAcentral
CACGUAGGCGGAUCUUUAAGUCAGGGGUGAAAUCCCGGAGCUCAACUCCGGAACUGCCUUUGAUACUGAGGGUCUCGAGUCCGGGAGAGGUGAGUGGAACUGCGAGUGUAGAGGUGAAAUUCGUAGAUAUUCGCAAGAACACCAGUGGCGAAGGCGGCUCACUGGCCCGGUACUGACGCUGAGGUGCGAAAGCGUGGGGAGCAAACA